Molecule: ribosomal RNA, 254 nt
Filed under: uncultured bacterium
Lineage: Bacteria
Description: partial 16S ribosomal RNA
Rfam family: Bacterial small subunit ribosomal RNA
Source: RNAcentral
UACGUAGGGGGCAAGCGUUAUCCAGAUUUACUGGGCGUAAAGCGCGUGUAGGCGGCUGGUUAGGCGUGAUGUGAAAUCUUCCGGCUCAACCGGAAAACUGCAUUGCGAACCGGCCUGGCUAGAGUGCAGGAGAGGGAAGCGGAAUUCCAGGUGUAGCGGUGAAAUGCGUAGAUAUCAGGAGGAACACCUGUGGUGUAGACAGCUUACUGGACCACUUCUGACGCUGAGACACGAAAGCGUGGGUAGCAAACAGG